UGUUCAAUACAGAGUUGAUAUCUUCAAGGAUCAAUGUGUAACAGAGGCAUGGGCUAUUUAGAAAACAGAGUCAAUCUUAACAAAUAUAGCUGAAGAAAUUUCACAGAUUGAUGAGAUGAAAAGUAGUUCUUUUCUGGAGAAAGGAUGAAAAUCAUUUGCAAUGAAAAUAGACCAUUUUCAAUUUUCCGCAUAGAUAACACUACGGGUCAG
RNAcentral lists this long non-coding RNA (210 nucleotides) under Hordeum vulgare. RNAcentral describes it as "long non-coding RNA (HVUL_LNC002665)". The record is from RNAcentral. Lineage: Eukaryota; Viridiplantae; Streptophyta; Magnoliopsida; Poales; Poaceae.